UUUGGGCUUUUGUUUCUUCUUUCUAAAGGGGGAGGAAAGAGGAAACUGAAGCUGAAA
MicroRNA precursor from Gallus gallus (chicken), 57 nucleotides. The record is from Ensembl. NCBI's taxonomy places the organism in Eukaryota, Metazoa, Chordata, Aves, Galliformes, Phasianidae.